Molecule: ribosomal RNA, 384 nt
Filed under: Paracontias rothschildi
Lineage: Eukaryota; Metazoa; Chordata; Lepidosauria; Squamata; Scincidae
Description: partial 12S ribosomal RNA
Rfam family: Bacterial small subunit ribosomal RNA
Source: RNAcentral
UAAAUACAACAUUAUCCGCCAGAGGACUACAAGCGAAAAGCUUAAAACUCCAAGGACUUGGCGGUGCCCUAUACCAACCUAGAGGAGCCUGUCCUAUAAUCGAUACUCCACGUUGUACCCUACCACCUUUUGCCACAGCCUAUAUACCGCCGUCGUCAGCCUACCCUAUGAAAGAAAAAGAGUAGGCAAAACAGUUAACAACAAACACGUCAGGUCAAGGUGUAGCAUAUAAGGUGGAAGAGAUGGGCUACAUUUUCUACCAUAGAACACACGAAUGAUAUGAUGAAACACAAACCUAAAGGCGGAUUUAGUAGUAAGAUGGAUAAGAAACACCACCUUAAACUCGCUCUGGGGCGCGCACACACCGCCCGUCACCCUCAUCAC